GACAGAGGUGCCGAGCGUUAAUCGGAAUUACUGGGCGUAAAGCGUGCGCAGGCGGUUCGUUAAGACAGAUGUGAAAUCCCCGGGCUUAACCUGGGAACUGCAUUUGUGACUGGCGAGCUAGAGUAUGGCAGAGGGGGGUAGAAUUCCACGUGUAGCAGUGAAAUGCGUAGAGAUGUGGAGGAACACCGGUGGCGAAGGCGGCCAUCUGGACGGAUACUGACGCUGAGACGCGAAAGCGUGGGGAGCAAACAGG
Molecule: ribosomal RNA, 253 nt
Filed under: uncultured bacterium
Lineage: Bacteria
Description: partial 16S ribosomal RNA
Rfam family: Bacterial small subunit ribosomal RNA
Source: RNAcentral